CCUCUGCUUCUCUCGAGGCAUCGACGGCUGUCCACCCUCCCAGCCGAGAGGCAGGACCUCGGCCGGGCGCACCAGCAGAGAGCCUGACCAGGGGCUCCAGGACUGCCCCAGAGCAGGGGCCAGCCCGCGGUCAGCAGAGCAGCCUGGACACGGCCGGAGCAGACCUUGUGGGCACAGGCAGAGCCGCAAGGUGGAGUCUCCCUUCUCUGAAUGCUUUUCCCGCUCCAGGGAUUAAGCCUGAUUGUGGUUUAAUCAGAAUCCUCGCUUGUCCACACCCUCUUAUCCACGAUUCACAGACGGCCUUUGUUGUAUCUUUUUAUCUCUGCUUUUCAUCGUGUUCACUCAUUCAGUUAAAAAAAUAAUGCACUGGGUGGCCGCGAAGCACCACCCAACCCGAGCCCCGGGACGGGACGCGCCCUCUCCCUGGCUGCACCCCCCCCGUCCCCCCCCCCAGGGUGAGCCACCAUCUCCCAUUUGCUUUUCCCGCCGCACCUGUGUUUGCCUGAACACCGCCUGGUUUCUGGGGGUGUGAGCUUUGUCUCCUGGGCCCGGCUCAGCGCCGCAGGGUCCGUCUGUUGUCACAGCUGCCGCGGCGCUGGGUUUCGCCACCUCUGUGCGCUGCGUGCUGUUCCGCCGGCCCGUGUGCCUGCCCUCUGCCUCCCGCCGUGCGCAUCCAUGGGGCCAGUGCGCUCAGCCUCAGCUGGACCGGAGGGAAUAGGGUGGGGGGGUCCAGCCAGAGAAGAUGCUGCCCAUUGGUUUCCAGGGCGGGUGUUCACUCCCACCCCACCUGUCACGGGGCUCCCGGGCGCCCAUCUCGGCCCCAUCGGGCGCGUUGCUUCCCUGCUGAUGGAGAGGCCGUUCCCUCCUGGGUUGUGGGGCCUGUGGGUGGUGUUCGUCGUGAGCCAUGUGGGCCCCCGGGCUGGGGGCAUUGAGUGGAUGCCUGCAUUCUUGCCUACAGAGGGUUGCGGAGUGGCGCCUUAGGCCCAGACCCCUCGGAGCCGGUCCCUGUGUGUGUCCUGCCCCUAAGACUCGCCGACUCCCCAGCCCAGGCCUCCCUGGCGCUGGCCCACUGCAGGGGCAGCUGGUGGAAGAUGCCGCCUGUUAGGGAGAGAGUUGGAGCUGGCGGCUGGGGGCUGGGGGUGGGUGCAACUGCCCCCACCCCUGUCCUCGGGUCCUGGGGGUCCAUCUGCAGGACCCACCUCUUUCUCCCUGCGAUGUGGACUCGGCCAGGGGCGGGGCCGGGCCUGGGGCCAAGUUCAGAGCGGGCUGACCAGGGGCUGAUGACCACCUGGCCCCCCGAGGGCUUCUAGACGCCGGCAGAUGGGGAUGAGGUGUCAGGCGCACAGGGGCCGUACGCGGGGAGUGGCAGGGAUGCCCCCCGCCCCCCGAGCCUGGGACAAGGGUCUUCUUGUGCUGUGGCUUGCCAUCCUCGUCUGAGCAGUGGGAGUGAAGGCCGAUGGCAGUGCCUGGCUCACAGGGCAGCGUGACAAUCAAACCAGGACCGGAGCGCAUUCGGCACGGGUCCCGCCUACCCCCCCCCCACAAGUGCUCAUGGUACUGGCUCGGGUCAGCACUGUUGCUUGUCACCCCGGUCACUCCUGGAGCCACCUCCUCCAGGCAGCCAGAGAUCCCUGAAGCUUUACUCCUGACCCACCUCCUUCACCCCAGCUGUGCCCCCCUGCCCCAGCUCUGGGUUAAAAACCUGCACAACCAUGACCCUGGGGGACCCUCCCCGCCCCCAGUGGGCACACACGAGGCCCUGCCCUGCCCCCUGCCCUGAGGCCGCCUGGGGCACAAGCCCCACGUCUGCCAGCUGCUCCCUAUCAGGCUGCGGCCGUGCCCGGCAGGGGGGAGCUCAGCUCACAGCUGGAGACCCGCCAGAAGCGCCAUCCUGCAGUCAGCCCCUCCCGGGGAGGCCACCGCCGCUGCUGCUUGGAAAUGUGACAGUGACUAAUGGUUUAUUACACACCUGCCACCUCUCCUCGGGCGGGCGGCACAGCCCCCGGGUCCAGCUGUGCACUGCCAGCUGGACAGCGGGGCGGGCACAGGGGGCGAGCACUUACAGACACAUGGGCACACACGGGCCCAGGGACACUCAGGGACAAACGCAGACCUGGCACAUGCGCCACACAGAAGGGGACACGUGCAGAUACAGGGACGUGCAGAGACACACAUUCAGAUAUGCACACGCAGGUACCUGUGUGGCCUAACGUGCACACAGAACCACAUUGCAGACACGCAUACCUGUAUGCACACGUGCCCCCAAACACAAACACACACACACAUGCACGCACGUGCACGUACACACACACCAUCCCAUAUGCACACCCAUGCACGCAGCCCUGCAACUCCCUCUCUCCAGAGCUCUGAGCCUCCUCGUCUCCCCUCUGUCUCUCCCGCUCCCUAUGGGGUGGCAUCCACCCCAGUGCCAUCUGGGGAAGGGGUCUUUCCCAGAAGGGCCAGUGGCCUGGGCGGGUCAGGGGCUGCCUCUAUUGCCUUGGGGGGCAGCUGGCCAUUGCGGUCUGUUUCUGACCCCUGUGCCCUGCAGACAUCUGGGGUGUGGGGGCAGCAGCCUUCAGCCAGGGAAGGAAGCUCUCACACCGACCACCCUUGUGUCGGGCUGGAGGCUGGCCAAGUGGCCCCAGGGAUAUGCACGGCCAGCCCACCUGGGGAACCAUCCCCUCGAGGUGGCCUCCCCCUGUAGGAGAGGAGCCCUAGGCCCCGCUCUUUCCAAUAUUCUCAAGCCGUUAGUCAAAGGAAGGUCCAUUUCUCAUGUGCCACUCGCAGGCGAUGUCAACUCCAGCAAGAGGACGCUUCUAAUUCAUCACCAGCUGACGGGCACAGGCAUUCCUGAACAAUGACCUCUCUGCGGUCGCAGCCUCCUUGGCAGGGAAGCAGCACCGUCUGGUGAUAAGUGAGGGUGUGGCUUUGGGAUCCCAGACCCAAGUCCAAGUUUCCAUAUCUCAGCGCUGCCACUUCCCGCCACGGAGCCUCGGCAAGUUUCAAAAUCUCCCCAGAGCUUAGCUGCUCCAUCGGCUGAGUGGGCGCGGGGACAAUGAAGUCUUCCUUGUAGCACGGCAUCAGUGACAUGGGAGGAACCCCCAGGGGGCCGCAGGGCCACAGGGCAAAGUUGCACAGGUUUCACACUGCACAACUCCAGGGGGCGCCAUUCUUGUCACCUCUGUGGACAUGCUCCCUGAGUGGCCGUGUUGCUCAGCGGAGCACUGGCCCCCCUGUAGUUCUCCCGCAUGGCCCUGGAUGGCCUUUCUGAGCUGUGGGAUGGCUGCUAAAGUGGUUAAUGAUAUCUUUAUUUGCAGAGAGUGGAAACCCCAGACUCCACUGAGGGGUUUGGGAUGGGGUCCCAGAAGGCCAGCCAGAGGGUGACUCUCCAGUCCCGUCCAUGCUCCUGGGGCUCCUCCCUUUCCCUUCUGCCAUGUGGGGGGGCUGGGAUUGGCCAGCCCUGUUGGGGUGCUCUGUGGGUUCCUUCCAGAGGCUGCUCUGCUCCCACCGGGAAGCCUCCUUUCUUGCUGGUACUUAUUCCAGGCUUUUGGGGACCACUGGUCCAGCGGGGAGGGGAGGGGAGGACAGGACUAGCUGGGCGGGGUGGGGACCAAGACUCAGCGCAUCUCCCAUUUCCCUGCCGGGGGGACCCCGCCUUCCCCUGCUCUCGUCGCCACCACGGCAGCAGCUACCGUGGACAAGUCCAGUUCCUGGAAGAGUCCAGUUCUUGGAAGUUCCUCCUGCUGCUGUAAAGCCUAAGUCCGGCAGCCUUUCGUAUCUUAUGGUUCUGGAGGCCAGAAAUCCAACACGGGUCUCCCAGGCUCACAUCAAGGUGUGGGCAGAGCUGGUGCCCCCUGGAGGCUCCAGGCGAGAAUCUGUUUCCUGGCCUUUUCCAGCUGCCGGCGGCGGUGCCCGCAUCCCUCGGGGCGUGGCCCCUCCUCCACCUGCCAAGCAGCGGCGCUGCAUCCCUCUGCCCUGCUUCUGUGGCCACAGCGCCCUCCCGAUGCUCCCUGCCCGCUUCUGCACCAGGACCUGUGAUUGCGGGGGCCACCUGCACAGUGCAGGAUCCGAGCUCGUCUCAAGGUCAGCCGACCAGCAGACGCCGCUCCCCCGUGCCGUGUCAGGGAGCAUCCUCACAGGUUCCCGGGGUCUGGACAUGGACGUCUUUAAGGGCCAUUAUCCCGCUGACCACGCCGUCCCUUAUGAAUUAGUUGUGUUAGGACAAGCACCGCCGGCUGCUGUAGCAGGUACUCCUGAGCCCACUGUGCUUCCUGGUUGGGUGACAUGGGGUCCCAGCUUCCCUUUAGCUCAUGGCUCAGCCAGGUCAUAGCUCCCAGCGUUUCCUGAUUCCAUCACCAGCAGAGACGGGGAGGAAAACACGAGAAAGCCACUGGACACACACCCACCUUGGCCGUGAGGCCUUGAGGUGACCCAUAUUCUUCCAUUGGCCUGAAGAGGCCCGCUGGCGAUGGAAAGGAGCUGGGCAGUGACAACUGUCCACUACAGGGGGGCCCGGGCAUGGUGGAGGGUUUGCCGUCGCUGGCCCGGCCGGCCAGCCCACCGAACGGAUCACCCACUGGUCCGUGAGCCUCAAGAACUGGGUCUGAGUCUGUCCUGCUGCACCUGCACGCCCUCCCCGGGUCCCUCUGUGCUCCUUCUGGGAGAAACGCUGGGAGUUCUCAUCCUCCGGCAGGUGUGGGAGUGUGAGGACCAGGCCUAGCUGCCAGCAAAAGGCCAGCUUACCCUCUGGGGCUCUGCGGGCCAGGCUGAGGCUUUGCCUGGGGUGGCCUCUGUGUGCCCUCUCUGCUUCCUCAUCCUGGCCCAUGCCCAGGCCCUGGGGCUGCUUCGCCUUACCAAUCACUCAGUGCACAUCGUUGUCUGCUGCUGCGAAGCCACUGGGGACAGUGCAUCCCCUAGAGCUGAUGGCUCAGCUCAGCUGCCUGUGCCCUCUGCCCCCUGCGUCACCAGCCUCUGCCUGGGCUCCGUGGCUCCGCAGAUGUGGGGGGACUUUGCUGCAGAUGCUGUAGCUCAGCCAGCGCUCCCAGGAAGGGGCCCCCAGAGUCAAGCUGCCAGCACAGGGGAUCAGGCAGCUUCUCAGAAGCUGAGCCCCUCAGACCUGUGCUGAGUUUUUGGAGCUGGGGGGCGGGGGGUUACCCCUGGAAGAUGCAACCCAAGAGCCGUGAGGACACAGCAGUAGGAGUUUCCUGGACCUUGAACCAUGUUAGCUGCUGAUGUGCGGUGUCCGUUCUGGGGCUGCUCUGGCUUCUUCCUCCUCUUGUCCUUUGUAGCUCUGUGUUUAAAUCAAAUCAGUGUUUGUUGGGUGUGGAGUCUAAGUCUUUGGCUCCGGACGGGCACUCCCUCAAUUCAAAUCUCGGAUCUGCUCUGUCUGCGCUUUUGGUGUUAAGCAGACACCCUCUCUGGGCCUCGGUGUCCCCUGCAAUCGCCAGGUGGGUCCGAGAGGCUAUUCCCGUCCCUUGCUGAGCGCCGUGCCAGGCACCUGGGGAUGCGGGAGCUGGCCCUGGCCCUGCCGUGGCUUUUGUCUCUCCUUUGUUGUGUGCAAACGGACUCCCGGCCAGCGGGGUUGGGUCUCCAUGGCCAGGAAGGCAGGGCCUCCACUUGGGUACUUGGCUCGGGCCUAAGUCGACCUUGGCACGCCUGGUCUGGAGCGGCGGCUGGUGCCGCGCGCGUUGGCGGCAGGCGCUGGGAGGACGCCUGUGCCCGCGGCCAAGCGGCAGCUGCUCAGAGGGCACGGGGGCCGGGUUUGGCUGCAGCUCCCCCAGCCCGCUUCCCAGCUGGAUGAAGAGGCUCUUUGGGCGGUUGACGGGGCCCCCCUGCGCCCAUCAGCCCUCCCUUCCCUUGUACGUCUCCAGCCAAGCUGGGACCCCAAGUCUGUUUUCUCUCCAACCUGUGAGUGUUUAUCUUCUCGGCAACUUCUUGGAACAGAGGGGAGCGCAGAGCUUGCAAGUCGGGGCAGGAGGCUGAGAAGCUCAGCGAGCCCAGGAGGCUCUUGGCUGGGCAGCUCCUCUUCCCCCGGGAGCCUCUGAGCGUGGAGCGGGGACGCGCCGUGCUGGGCCUGAAACCCCUUCCCACCCUGCUCCUCCGCUGCCAGGGUUGGUGGCUUUCAGCUGGCCCCUGGGCUGGUGUGUGACUCUUUGGUUCCUCUGACUGAUUCAGAUUUCCAUGACCUGAAAAAGAAAAGAGAACUCGGGUGGUUCAGUACAAUGAACUGAGCGCUGACUCACGUGACGUGCAAAAUGGCACGAAGGGGAGUUCCCAUUGUGGCUCAGUGGCUAAUGAACCCAAUUAGGACCCAUGAGGUUGCAGGUUCGAUCCCUGGGCUCACUCAGUGGGUUAAGGACCUGGUGUUGCCUUGAGCUGUAGUGUAGGUCACAGAUGCAGCCUGGAUCCUGCAUUGCUGUGGCUGUGGUGUAGGCCAGUGUCUAUAGCUCUGAUUAGACCCCUAGCCUGGGAAUCUCCAUAUGCCAUAGGAGCGGCCCUAGAAAAGACAAAAAGACAAAAAAAAAAAAAAAAAAAAAAAAAAAA
Molecule: long non-coding RNA, 6543 nt
Filed under: Sus scrofa (pig)
Lineage: Eukaryota; Metazoa; Chordata; Mammalia; Artiodactyla; Suidae
Description: lncRNA (ENSSSCG00040019170.1)
Source: RNAcentral